AACAAUAGCAUUUAAAAUGCAUACCGGUUUCGGCCCGGUAAGAGCGCCCCAACGCAUACACCAAAUUUU
Molecule: transfer RNA, 69 nt
Filed under: Pheretima mutabilis
Lineage: Eukaryota; Metazoa; Annelida; Clitellata; Crassiclitellata; Megascolecidae
Also listed under: 1 other name
Description: tRNA-Arg
Source: RNAcentral